AUUGAACGCUGGCGGCAGGCCUAACACAUGCAAGUCGAACGGUAGCAGGAAGAAGCUUGCUUCUUUGCUGACGAGUGGCGGACGGGUGAGUAAUGUCUGGGAAACUGCCCGAUGGAGGGGGAUAACUACUGGAAACGGUAGCUAAUACCGCAUAACGUCUUCGGACCAAAGAGGGGGACCUUCGGGCCUCUUGCCAUCGGAUGUGCCCAGAUGGGAUUAGCUAGUAGGUGGGGUAACGGCUCACCUAGGCGACGAUCCCUAGCUGGUCUGAGAGGAUGACCAGCCACACUGGAACUGAGACACGGUCCAGACUCCUACGGGAGGCAGCAGUGGGGAAUAUUGCACAAUGGGCGCAAGCCUGAUGCAGCCAUGCCGCGUGUAUGAAGAAGGCCUUCGGGUUGUAAAGUACUUUCAGCGGGGAGGAAGGUGUUGAGGUUAAUAACCUCAGCAAUUGACGUUACCCGCAGAAGAAGCACCGGCUAACUCCGUGCCAGCAGCCGCGGUAAUACGGAGGGUGCAAGCGUUAAUCGGAAUUACUGGGCGUAAAGCGCACGCAGGCGGUCUGUCAAGUCGGAUGUGAAAUCCCCGGGCUCAACCUGGGAACUGCAUUCGAAACUGGCAGGCUUGAGUCUCGUAGAGGGGGGUAGAAUUCCAGGUGUAGCGGUGAAAUGCGUAGAGAUCUGGAGGAAUACCGGUGGCGAAGGCGGCCCCCUGGACGAAGACUGACGCUCAGGUGCGAAAGCGUGGGGAGCAAACAGGAUUAGAUACCCUGGUAGUCCACGCCGUAAACGAUGUCUACUUGGAGGCUGUGGUCUUGAACCGUGGCUUCCGGAGCUAACGCGUUAAGUAGACCGCCUGGGGAGUACGGCCGCAAGGUUAAAACUCAAAUGAAUUGACGGGGGCCCGCACAAGCGGUGGGGCAUGUGGUUUAAUUCGAUGCAACGCGAAGAACCUUACCUACUCUUGACAUCCAGAGAACUUAGCAGAGAUGCUUUGGUGCCUUCGGGAACUCUGAGACAGGUGCUGCAUGGCUGUCGUCAGCUCGUGUUGUGAAAUGUUGGGUUAAGUCCCGCAACGAGCGCAACCCUUAUCCUUUGUUGCCAGCGAUUCGGUCGGGAACUCAAAGGAGACUGCCAGUGAUAAACUGGAGGAAGGUGGGGAUGACAUCAAGUCAUCAUGGCCCUUACGAGUAGGGCUACACACGUGCUACAAUGGCGCAUACAAAGAGAAGCGACCUCGCGAGAGCAAGCGGACCUCAUAAAGUGCGUCGUAGUCCGGAUUGGAGUCUGCAACUCGACUCCAUGAAGUCGGAAUCGCUAGUAAUCGUGGAUCAGAAUGCCACGGUGAAUACGUUCCCGGGCCUUGUACACACCGCCCGUCACACCAUGGGAGUGGGUUGCAAAAGAAGUAGGUAGCUUAACCUUCGGGAGGGCGCUUACCACUUUGUGAUUCAUGACUGGGGUG
RNAcentral lists this ribosomal RNA (1464 nucleotides) under uncultured Enterobacter sp. Its description in RNAcentral is "bacterial SSU rRNA". It matches the Rfam family "Bacterial small subunit ribosomal RNA". Lineage: Bacteria; Pseudomonadati; Pseudomonadota; Gammaproteobacteria; Enterobacterales; Enterobacteriaceae. The record is from RNAcentral.